GGGGCCCAAACGCGCGAUCCAGCCCUCGCGCAGGCGCCCUGGAACUCCCCGCGCGUGUUGUGACCCAGAAUUCCCGGGGCUGUGGAAGAGACCAUAGACUCAACAGGAGGGGGAGUCCUGGGUAGCGCGCCGGUCUAAAUCGUUACUUGGCGGAAAGUUCCCAUGAGUCUUUGCCAGCGUCCCCCUCCUUUUGUGAGGAUUGGGAUAUUCCGACUCCUUAAGGGCCUGGCGCACAUAAGGUGUGACCUUUUCAUUCCCGUUGUUAUGGAGGGCCACAUCUGCCAGAGCCUGGAGUCUGCGAAGGCCGGGACCCGGUUCCCCGGCCCACAGUGGGGGUGUGCAAACCCGAGAGAACUGGGUUGCAAAUUCGUGAAGAAUCAGCAUCAUGUUUGGCAGCUGAGUAUUGGAGCCAGGAGCCUGCCAUGAGGUUUUGAGAACAGAGUGCUGUUUUAGAGCUGGCAGCAGCAUCUCAGCCCAAGAGAAGGUUAUAUUCCCAGAGGAUGUCAGUCCCAAGGACCAGUAGCUGCCAUCAGUUUGGAUUCUGAAAACUAACUGGCAUCAACACUGGGUGUAGAAACAUGCUUGCCUUAUGUAUCAGAGGACAUGCUCAGCAGAUCCAAGAGAUAUAUUUGGCAACUUUUUCUAGAAAAGGCACAUUGGGUAUCAUUCAUUACAUUCUUGAGUUUUUUUGGGUUUUUUUUUUUUUUUUUGAGACAGUCUUGCUGUAUUGCCCAGGCUGGAGUGUGGUGGCACAAUCACAGCUCAUUGCAUCCUCAAUCACCCAGGCCUAAGCAAUCCUCCCACCUUGUAGCUGGGACUACAGCUCACAGCACACCUGGCUAAAAUUUUUUUUUUGUUGAGACGGAUUCUCUAUGUUGCCCAGGCUGGUCUCAGGCUCCUGGGCUCAGAUGGUCCUCCUGCCUCAGCUUCCAAAGGCACAGGCCAAGUUGUAGCUUUGUCCCUUGCCAUCAUGCCCAACAAGAGGUUCUAUACCUUUUAAUGAAUUGACUUUCAUAAAUUGGUUAUGUUGGUGGGCAAAGUUCUUUAAGCUGGAAAUUGUAAAUUCCUCCUGAAAUGUUUUUUCAUGCAGUUACCAUGAACUAAUACUACAAUAAAGGAUGGUCUUGGGUGUCAAUUCUUGAAAAUGUGUAUUUGAAGAAAAAGUAAAUUUCGCCUACUGUUGUCAGAUAUUAGCAGUCCAGAUAUUCGCUCUAGCUUGUAAACUUCCCUGUGGUCAGCCUAAGCUCUUAACCCCCUAUUCUACAGCUUUAGACUGAAGGCAAAAGCUCAAAGCAUUUAAGGCCUCCUCAAUUUCGGCCCCUGCUGCUCUGUGCUCUGUUCCUUGGUGUAGCUUUGUUCCAGCUCCUGCAGCAUUGCACCAUUCCUAACCACAACCUUAACAGCAUGUAGGGCCCCAUACUCUAGGCCCCAUCUUGCUGUCUUCCUGUGUUGGAAUCUUGCCUACCAAGGCCUGUCAAGAGGGUCCUCCCCCAUACUGUUUGCCCACAAGGUUCAAGAGUGAUUGGCUCCCAGUCUUCCUGGACUGAACUACUUGGAUCUAGGGGUUGCCUGUUAUUUAGAAGAGAUCCCUUAACUGGUAGGGCCCUUUCAGUAGGACAGUAUUUGGGUAAGGGGAGGGUAUAAGAUGAGAACCUUUGCUAAGUUAGGUUCCUUUGGGAGCCUCCAGUUUGUUUCUCCCUCUCCCCAGCCAUCUUGUUGGAUCUGCCAAGGGAUUGGACUCCUUCAUUGUCCUAGGUUUUUAAGGUUUUAAAGCCCACCUUCUGCAGUCGGUUUUCUGGAAUGUGUUGGUGGAUUACUUAAGAGUUAUGGGGAAAGAGUUCUUACGGCCUGUCUAGGUCAGUGAAGUCAUACUGGCAAGUGACAAGAAGGAAGCCAGGUUUGUCACUUACCCUGCAUGCUAAGGACAUCAGAGCCCACAUAGAAGUCUGGUAGUUUUUCAGCCAGCAGUGGGUAGGGAAGGUGGAUAGGGGAUUUCUGAACAGGACUUUAUGCCUGUAUGCAUGGGCACCAUGUCUGUCCUGAGCACUACCACAUGGCAUCGUAGGCUGCUCUGUCAAAGGAUAUAGCGAUAGCUGGUCCUAUGGGCAGAUGCCUAGAAUCAAGGUGGGCCUCAGAAAUAGGGCUGGGUCUCCAUAAGGAGGUAGGCCACGUUCAGUCCACCCCUAGCAUAGAUGGAACUGGGGUCUCGGGCAACCAGGAGUUACAGGAAUUUUGCUAAAGAUUCCCACCUUCCUUGAGUGGGGACACAUUCCUCUGGUUGGAGCUUGUUCCCCUAAAUGAAAAAUGUAAUGCAGUACAUGUAGGGGCCCUACUGUAUUCUUUUUCUGGGGGAAAGCUCUUGGUGUUCACAAUGGCUCAGGCUUACAGUACCUCCAGCCAUGUGCCCAUUUCCACAAGUCUUUGGGGAAGGCCAUGAGCUGAGCUGAGAGGGUUCUCUGGGGCCUGGGAUGACUUAAGAACCAAAUGGCAGAUAAUGGGAUAGGGGGCAGAUGCAGAGGACCAACGGGAAGUUUUAACACAAAUCCCCUUCCCCAGAUGAUAUGGUUUGCCUUUCUGUAGGUGGGUGGCCCAGGCCAAUUUUUGGCAAUAUCCUUAACCCACCUGAU
RNAcentral lists this long non-coding RNA (2627 nucleotides) under Homo sapiens (human). RNAcentral's name for it is "PREDICTED lncRNA (TCONS_00107443)". Lineage: Eukaryota; Metazoa; Chordata; Mammalia; Primates; Hominidae. The record is from RNAcentral.